AACGAACGCUGGCGGCAGGCUUAACACAUGCAAGUCGAACGCAUCCUUCGGGGUGAGUGGCAGACGGGUGAGUAACGCGUGGGAACGUGCCCUUCAGUUCGGGAUAACCCAGGGAAACUUGGGCUAAUACCGGGUACGUGCGUGAGCAGAAAGAUUUAUCGCUGAAGGAUCGGCCCGCGUCUGAUUAGCUAGUUGGUGGGGUAACGGCCCACCAAGGCGACGAUCAGUAGCUGGUCUGAGAGGAUGAUCAGCCACAUUGGGACUGAGACACGGCCCAAACUCCUACGGGAGGCAGCAGUGGGGAAUAUUGGACAAUGGGCGCAAGCCUGAUCCAGCCAUGCCGCGUGAGUGAUGAAGGCCUUAGGGUUGUAAAGCUCUUUCGUCCGGGACGAUAAUGACGGUACCGGAAGAAGAAGCCCCGGCUAACUUCGUGCCAGCCGCCGCCGUAA
This 449-nucleotide ribosomal RNA is filed under the name uncultured bacterium. RNAcentral's name for it is "partial 16S ribosomal RNA". It matches the Rfam family "Bacterial small subunit ribosomal RNA", at positions 29 to 523 of the family's 1533-position model. The record is from RNAcentral.